UACGGGGGGGGCAAGCGUUGUUCGGAAUUACUGGGCGUAAAGGGCUCGUAGGCGGCCAACUAAGUCAGACGUGAAAUCCCUCGGCUUAACCGGGGAACUGCGUCUGAUACUGGAUGGCUAGAGUGUGGGAGUGGGAUGCGGAAUUCCAGGUGUAGCGGUGAAAUGCGUAGAUAUCUGGAGGAACACCGGUGGCGAAGGCGGCAUCCUGGACCACGACUGACGCUGAGUGAGCGAAAGCCAGGGGAGCAAACGGG
This 254-nucleotide ribosomal RNA is filed under the name uncultured bacterium. RNAcentral describes it as "partial 16S ribosomal RNA". It matches the Rfam family "Bacterial small subunit ribosomal RNA", at positions 524 to 776 of the family's 1533-position model. The record is from RNAcentral.